GGCAGUCUGGUGCCAGCAGCCGCGGUAAUUCCAGCUCCAAUAGCGUAUAUUAAAGUUGUUGCAGUUAAAAAGCUCGUAGUUGAACCUCGGGAUCAAUGGAUCGGUCAUGCCAUCGGUAUGUACUGGUCUCAUUGGUUCUCACCUUCUAAGGAACCAUGAUGUCAUUCAGUUGAUGUUGUGGGGAAUUAGGACUGUUACCUUGAAAAAAUUAGAGUGUUUAAAGCAGGCUAACGCUUGAAUACAUUAGCAUGGAAUAAUGAAAUAGGACAUCGCAUUCUAUUUUGUUGGUUUCUAGGAUCGAUGUAAUGAUUAAUAGGGAUAGUUGGGGGCAUUAGUAUUCAAUUGUCAGAGGUGAAAUUCUUGGAUUUAUUGAAGACUAACUACUGUGAAAGCAUUUGCCAAGGAUGUUUUCAUUAAUCAAGAACGAAAGUUAGGGGAUCGAAGACGAUCAGAUACCGUCGUAGUCUUAACCAUAAACUAUGCCGACUAGGGAUCGGAUGAUGUUGAUUUUUUAAUGACUCAUUCGGCGCCUUACGGGAAAC
Molecule: ribosomal RNA, 542 nt
Filed under: uncultured Glomeromycotina
Lineage: Eukaryota; Fungi; Glomeromycota
Description: SSU rRNA
Rfam family: Eukaryotic small subunit ribosomal RNA
Source: RNAcentral